This 337-nucleotide ribosomal RNA is filed under the name Tetradesmus obliquus. Its description in RNAcentral is "SSU rRNA". It matches the Rfam family "Eukaryotic small subunit ribosomal RNA", at positions 1487 to 1825 of the family's 1831-position model. Lineage: Eukaryota; Viridiplantae; Chlorophyta; Chlorophyceae; Sphaeropleales; Scenedesmaceae. The record is from RNAcentral.
UGGCCCGCGCGCUAACUGAUGCAUUCAACAAGCCUAUCCUUGACCGAAGGGUCUGGGUAAUCUUUGAAACUGCAUCGUGAUGGGGAUAGAUUAUUGCAAUUAUUAGUCUUCAACGAGGAAUGCCUAGUAAGCGCAAGUCAUCAGCUUGCGUUGAUUACGUCCCUGCCCUUUGUACACACCGCCCGUCGCUCCUACCGAUUGGGUGUGCUGGUGAAGUGUUCGGAUUGGCAGCUUAGGGUGGCAACACCUCAGGUCUGCCGAGAAGUUCAUUAAACCCUCCCACCUAGAGGAAGGAGAAGUCGUAACAAGGUUUCCGUAGGUGAACCUGCAGAAGGAA